AGAAAAUAAAUAAAGAUCCAGUCUGUUUGUAAUGAGGAACAUGUUUUUGACUGUUCUGCUCUUCUUUAUAAGGGAAUCCCAUCUCUGAAGAACUGCAUUCUGGGUAUGAAGAUGCUGAUGAGCUUCUCUCAGGUUAGAGAGCUGAAGUGCAUAUUCAAUCCAUAAUCCACUCAAAAACAAAAAACAAAAAAAAAAACACACACACACACACAAAAAAAAAAAAACUAAUGUAAUUAGUAAUUCCAUUAUAUAUUUGAUUAAUGACUCAGUACUGUUCAGAUACUGCUGUUUACUUACUUACAUAUUAAUAGUCUGCUCUCCUUUUUUUCAGCAGAAGAGUUCAAUACUGCAUAUUAUGAUGAUGUCACCAAUGGCAGUGGCCUAAAAGGUCAGUGACCUUUUAAAUUGAUCACAUGAUUCAAAUGUUUACAGAGUCUCAGUAUCAUGAUCUGCAACAAGAAUGUUUUUUUUUUUUUUGGCUUUUGUAUCCAAACAUAUUGUGUGUUGAUGCAGAAGAGAUGAAGGAAAUCACACCGGUGUACUAUGAUGAUGUCAUUACUGAUGGACUGAAGCCAGAUCGUGAGACAGGUGUCACUUUGUUAUUUUACAACAGCAUAUAAUAUAUUUUUUAAUUAAAAUAUGACAGUACAUUUAAGAUAGAUAUUUCAAAUUUGUUCUGAAUGUAAUUAUUGUGCGUCUGUGAUGAAUGUGUGAAUUUGUAGAAGAAACACCGGAGAGCUAUGAUGAUGUCAUGACAAGCGGAUGCAACACUGAUAUAAAAAAAGUGGAUGCACCAGAGAAUUAUGAUGAUGUCAUCAUUAAUAGACCUAGCUCUCAAGAGGUAAAAGAGGGAGUUCAGGAGGAGUAUGAUGAUGUGAUGAGUGUCAGUGAAGAUGUGAAAAACCUGUUGGAUUAUGAUGAUGUGGAGUCAAACAAAGAAGUGGGGCAUUCGGCUCAGUGAUCAUCCAUUGCCUCGGUUCAACAAAUCUGAACAAAGUUUGAAUGAUAUUGUUAUUGAUGUCAAAUCUCAGGUUUUUAUAUUUUCCCCCAUUUUUGUUUUAAAACUUUUAAAAGUUCUACAUUAGACACACACACACUCAAAGUCUGUAUCAAAUGUUAUCUUAUGUGAUCAGCUGUUUUUAACCAAUAAAUAAAAAU
Molecule: long non-coding RNA, 1158 nt
Filed under: Carassius auratus (goldfish)
Lineage: Eukaryota; Metazoa; Chordata; Actinopteri; Cypriniformes; Cyprinidae
Description: lncRNA (ENSCARG00000028384.1)
Source: RNAcentral